GUUUCAGUCACUGCUCUGAGUCCAGGGAAAUGAUAAUUUGCAAUCUUGAAGAGAUUGUCACAUAAAGGAGACUGCAUGUACUGAGCUGCAUAUGCUGCACAGAUGAGUCCUUGCAUUAACAGACCAGCUGGAUCUCCUGCAUGGGAUAUCAUCACUGCCUUCAUGAAGGAUAACUUCUUCCACAUUGCCAUAUACACACAUCUGCUAAAGACAGGGUCCUGCAGCUGCUUGCUGCCCGCUGUGGCUCAUGGGCUGUGUAACUUGAGCAGCAUUCCUCGAGCACCAUGCCCACCCUAAACUCCCAGCAGCUGGAACAGCUGUGUGAAGUGCAGCCUUAGAUUACUACAGACAUCUUUAAGAAAUUAAAAAGCUGAAUCUCCAGUCUCUAUCAUUUCACCUACUUUUAAUAGAAUUGCUCCUCAGCCACCUUGUCUUUGGGGUAUAUCUACUUUAUCAUUAACUCAGUCACGUUACAGGUUUUACAGGUAAUACUGCUGGAAAUAUUGUUUUGCCACACCUGUGCAAUAAACUGAAAAAAAACAAAGUGACAAAUGUAUUAAAAGAAUUAAAAGUUAAGUCAGAAUAAAGUCAAAAAGACACUUUUCUACCAUUUGCCCACAAUGUGCAGCACAGGCUGCAUCACACACUGAAAGUCCCGACAAUCAAAGUCUUGAAAACCCUCUCUCCCUCCCUUCCCAUGAAAGUUUGGACUUAUUCCCAAAUACUUUAAAAAGAAUUGGUCUAGCAUAAGAUCACAACUAGCAAAGUUCUGCCAAUCCUUCUAUCAAUUAACUAUUGUGGAUGAUCUUCCCAUUUUCUUAUUAAUACUAGGAUUUAGUCCACAGAUUUGCCAAUUACAAACCUCAGCAUUUGCUCUCAGAACCAGUCUUAGCCCAAAACCCCAGAGACUAAAUAUUCCAGGCUCCUUAAAGUAAGCAUGGAAGAAGCAAGUUAGAAUCUAGUGAAAAACUUAAAGUUUAAAUUUUGUCUUAUUUUUUUUUCCUUUGUGAUACAGGCAUUUAACAUCCAAAACUCAUCUGUAAGCAAUCAAAACCACAGGUAAAACACAAGAACAAAGGAUUUACCUAGUGAGUCAUCAAAGUGCUUUAUUUUAUAAAGCCUUGCUCAUGUUUGGAGUGUAAUCUAAGCACUAACAUACACAAUAAUGAGUCUUCCUUGCCCUGUCCAAAUAAACGGUUUAUCAACAAGAGUGAGUGACAAAAAUGCUACACAGACAAAAAGAAUGCUUUGCUGUAAAUGUCGAAAAUGGUCUAAAAAUGUACACUUGUUGGCCGCAAUUAAAUAUGUACUCCAAGUACCUUAUUUUUACUCCAGAGUCUCCCUGUGGCCUCAUACCUUCAGAAGCUUCAGAAAACGAAACUUGGGUGAGAACGUAGACAACCAGGGUGUUUAGGGAGAGGA
Cyanistes caeruleus (blue tit) is the source of this 1422-nucleotide non-coding RNA. Lineage: Eukaryota; Metazoa; Chordata; Aves; Passeriformes; Paridae. The record is from RefSeq and is a predicted model, not a curated record.